GGUUGCGUAGCUCAGCUGGAUAGAGCAUCUGCCUUCUAAGCAGACGGUCGCAGGUUCGAAUCCUGCCGCAAUCA
This 74-nucleotide transfer RNA is filed under the name Capnocytophaga sp. Its description in RNAcentral is "tRNA-Arg". It matches the Rfam family "tRNA". Rfam says of the family: Transfer RNA (tRNA) molecules are approximately 80 nucleotides in length. Their secondary structure includes four short double-helical elements and three loops (D, anti-codon, and T loops). Lineage: Bacteria; Pseudomonadati; Bacteroidota; Flavobacteriia; Flavobacteriales; Flavobacteriaceae. The record is from RNAcentral. RNAcentral also lists the same sequence under 5 other names.